Molecule: ribosomal RNA, 477 nt
Filed under: uncultured bacterium
Lineage: Bacteria
Description: bacterial SSU rRNA
Rfam family: Bacterial small subunit ribosomal RNA
Source: RNAcentral
GGCCUAAUACCAUGCAAGUCGAACGGGAGUCCCCCGUCGGGGGGCGAGAGUGGCGCACGGGUGCGUAACGCGUAUCGCAACCAGCCCCUUCCCGCGGAUAGCCGGUGGAAACGCCGGAUAAUACGGCAUGGUCCCCUGGAUGGGCAUCCAUCCAGGGGUAAAGACACGUCGGGGAGGGACGGGCAUGCGUGCCAUUAGCUGGUUGGCGGGGCGACGGCCCACCAAGGCGACGAUGGCUAGGGGAUCUGAGAGGACGGUCCCCCACACUGGUACUGAGACACGGACCAGACUCCUGCGGGAGGCAGCAGUAAGGGAUAUUGGGCAAUGGGGGGCAACCCUGACCCAGCCAUGCCCGCGUGAGGGAAGUAGGCCCCAGUGGUCGUGAACCUCUUUUGCGGGGGGACAAGGCGCCGCACGGGAUGCGGCGUUGAGGGUACCCCGCGAAUAAGCAUCGGCUAACUCCGUGCCAGCCGCGGC